Long non-coding RNA from Diabrotica virgifera virgifera (western corn rootworm), 737 nucleotides. RefSeq lists it as uncharacterized. NCBI's taxonomy places the organism in Eukaryota, Metazoa, Arthropoda, Insecta, Coleoptera, Chrysomelidae. The record is from RefSeq and is a predicted model, not a curated record. The transcript is spliced from 2 exons.
AACACUUAGGCCCGGUCUUUUCACCUCCGAAUAAAUAUGCUCUUAUCUGGCAGUUAGCUAUCUGGAGGAUAAAUAUUUAUUCGCUAGAUAAAAUGUACCCGUCUUUUCACGUCAAUUUAUGUUCCAGUUAGUUAUCCGGUAGAUAAGCUUAAAAGUAAGUUUGGAUUCCGAACACACCUGACUUUUAUGUUUAUUUUUAUAAUUUCAGCUUUAACUUAACCUAACAUAAUUAGAUUCAAAGAUGAUUUUAUCGAUUUUAUUUCCAUUUUGGAAGAAGGAAAUGUAAUCACAGAAUUACAACUUAAUAGGUUUAGUCACAACUUAACUUAGUUUAGUUACAACUUAAUCAUAAGGUUUGGAAAUACAUUUCCAUAUUUUAAUCAGACAACAAUAUUGUUUUAGAAAGAAAACAUUGAUUAUGCUGAAAUAGUUUACUGGAGAGCUUGAACAAGAGUUACAGAUAUGACAAACACCUAGAAGAUGGAAUCCUGUGUUCUCAUAGAAAAAGCUAGUUCCAGAAAUAAGCUACCAAUAAUAAACUAGAGAAUGUAUUACAAGAAAGAACAACGCUAAUACUCAACAUAGCUCAAUUGCUUCAGAUAGAAAAAGAGGAGGAAAGGGUAGAACACAAGCGUGCCAGAGAAAAUGAAAGGGCAGAAGAGACAAAAAUUCAUUGAUUUAUUAAAUUUAAUAAUUAAAUUAUACAAAGGACAAUUAAAUAAAGAAUAAAAAAAUUA